RNAcentral lists this unclassified non-coding RNA (202 nucleotides) under Glomus sp. RNAcentral describes it as "partial contains 5.8S ribosomal RNA and internal transcribed spacer 2". The stretch from base 1 to 71 matches the Rfam family "5.8S ribosomal RNA", at positions 84 to 154 of the family's 154-position model. The record is from RNAcentral. Lineage: Eukaryota; Fungi; Glomeromycota; Glomeromycetes; Glomerales; Glomeraceae.
GUGAAUCAUCAAAUCUUUGAACGCAAAUUGCACUUUCUGGUAUUCCGGAAAGUAUGCCUGUUUGAGGGUCAGUUAAAUAAAAAUCGGUGUUGUUGCUGCUUUUCGUGGUGACGCGUCGGAAUUGAGUUGUCUUACCUUCGGUUAAGUGACUUAAAAUUUGGCAGGUUUUUCGAAGGAAUUAAAAUUUUUAAGGAAGGUUUGA